CGUAUCUGUCAAAUGUACAGUUAAAGGGUUAUUCCGCAUUUUUUGCCGAUACGCACACAUUGGAAUUUCGCUAACUCCUCCGAAGGCUUUCGUUCCACCGGCACCACAUUUGCUCAGGCCAAUCUACACCCCAUGGCCAUUAAAAGUUAUUCAAAUCAUGAUGCUGCACCCCAUGGUUUAGGUUCUAGGGGGCGCCAAAAAUAACCCAAAAAUCCACAUUCUUAAAUGUUUUAUAACUUUUUUUUUUUGUCCUCACUGGCCUCCAAGUUUUCUAGGAUGAUGCAAUGUCCAGCCAUCAACACAUUUGUGAAGGAAUUUUUACUCCCCAAAAGAGCGCCCCCCCAUGGUAGGAGAAAAAAGUCAAUUUUUUCUUGUCCCCUUACAUGAAAAUACACAUUGUUGAGUGUCACGCCUGAACGCUUUGUCAUAUUGACACAAAAAUUGACAAUCAUGUGUAUCUCAAUUAGAUCUACGAAAAAGUCAAACAGCGCGUAUCUGUAUAAUGUACGGUUAAAGGGCUAUUUUGCAUUUUUUGCCGAUUCGCACACAUUGGAAUGUGGCUAUCUCCUCCUAAGGCUUUCGUCCCACCGAUACCAAAUUUGCUAAGGGCAAUCUACACCCCAUGCCCAUUCAAAGUUGUAAAAAUCAUGAUGCUGCACCCCACGGUUUACGUUCUAGGGGGCGCCAAAAAUGACCCAAAAAUCCACAUUCUUAAAAGUCAUUUUGGCCACUGCAGGAGUACAGAGUACUGCAGUUCUAGGGGGCGCCAAAGAUGACCCAAAAAUCCACAUUCUUAAAAGUCUUUUUGGCCACUGCAGGAGUACAGAGUACUGCAGGAUACACACACAUAUACACACACGCCAACAUACACACACACACACACACACACACACACACACACAGACACACACACACACUCAGAGUCUGUUUUUUAGCACCUGCAAAAACAUGCUGUUUACAUAUUUGACAAGAAUGCAGAGGCUUCCUUUUGCCCCUGAAAAAAAUCAAAUUUCAAACACAACUUGACUGUUCAUUUCUCCAAAAGACAACCAUGAAGCUCCAUUUCAAACCUGAAGCAGAUAGUUGGUGCAUGUGUACAGUAACCUGAGGGGAGUAAGGUGACUAUUUCUGAGGAGAACAUGAGCAGUGAAGAUUCACCUUGGAGCUAGAACAGGGACGUGCACAUGAUUAUACAGGGGCAGGGGCUCAAGUUUUUUCCAGUCAUUUAUACAAUAUGGAAAUUAAUGUGAAAUUAAACCACAAAUAUGUGUGAUGAACUGUUUUUAAAACUUAAACUUCAAAUAAAAAUUGUAAACUUCAAAACAUAUGCAAAUUUUUAACAAAGAACAUAGUAAUUUACCUCUAUUUACAUCAAAAUGCAGGCAAUGGCCCAGGCGUUCUUUGUAAAAUUAUUUACAAAACACUGUAUAGUCUCACAAAUGUCACUUUUUAUUUAUGCCACUACAAAAAAACAUGAUGUAAAUGAUGCAUGAUGUAAAACAUGAUGUAAAAAACUUGUGUAGAUCCUCCUCUAUGUCAGCCCAUGUGUAAUUUUUCCAUAAUUCUUUGUUUUUUGCAGCAUUUUUGUUAGUGUAACUGCAGAUUGUGCUGACAGUGUCUAUGGCAAAAAAAAAAAAAACUGAAAAUGCCUCAACAUGGACCCCUGGUGGUCUCUGAGGGUGAAACCUGCUAACUGCUGCAGCUCUGUCAGCUUUAGUCUCCCAUGCAGAGUUCGGAGCGCAUGUGUGGCUCUGCACCCUUAGCAGCGUUGCUAACUCCUCAGUAAGGAAAGCCUGCUUCAUGUCAGAGUCUCUAAACUCCAGAAGAAGUCGAUAAAAGUCCCUUUCUUUCUAAAAAAAAGUCGUUAGGGGGUCUGAAAAGUCAUUGAAUCUAACAACAAAGUCGCUAGGUUUGCAACUACGUGUCCCAGACUGCAUCCCUGCUGAGAGUUCCUCCCUCCCUUCUCAUGUUGCAGGAAGAACGUAAGCGCCCGCCCCUUGUCAAUCAGUCACCAUAUAAUUUUGGAUUGGUUGUUGUGGUGAAGUUUUCCACCAAUAGGAGAGAUGUUGUGGUGUUUUUUUUUUUCUUUGGCAAGCCUUUUCCGCCUGUAAGACCUGUCGCUAAUGUCUGCAUGCUAUGUUUUCCUGUCUCAUACAGCACGAUCGAGCGCCGGACGUGAUCAAAAUAAGCAGAAAAAAAGUAUCGCGGACAUAAUUUAUCAUAACUCUGGUUUUAUUUGGCCUAUCAACACAAUUUGAAAACUGGUGUAUAGUUUGAGGUCCUCACUUUUGAGAUAAGUUGAAACGGAGAGUCAACGAGGCUCCGUCUUGCUGCUACAUCCGGUUAAAUAUGUAAGGUGACUUGAACGCUGAGGAGCGUCCAUCGACUGCAGAGCCAGCAGACAAAGUAGUUGUGGCCACUGAAAGGCACAUAUUUGUCAUAUGCUAUAAUCCUAACAUAUUUUAAUGCUUUUUCUAUUUAAACCUAAUGGAUCUAAGGUUUGACCUUCAAAAUUUAGGAAGAAUAUGUUUUUGCAGUAAUGACCCCGUUAAACAACCAGAGGUCCUUUCCUAAAGUUUAUGGAAAUUUUAGUGAAGGCCUUGGUUUCUUUCCUUGCAAAAUGUAUAGAAAUAAUAAAGCUAAAUUCCAUAAAAUGGUCUUGGCGUAUUAGCAGUGAUAUAAAAUAGUGGUUUGAAUAUGAAUGAACAACAACAACAAAAAAACAUCAACAGAGCCUUUUUGAGUUGGGAUUCUUUCAUUAUCACACAAAAACAGACAUAGACAGACAUCUAAAGGGUAAGGGAAUGAUCAGCCCUCCUAACUCUCAGAUGAAUCUUCAAAAUUCACCUCAGAAAUAUGCUUAUUAUUCUUCUCAGAGUACUGCAGGAUAUACACACACACACUCAGAGUCUUUUUUUAGCACCUGCAAAAACAUGCUAUUUACAUAUUUGACUAGAAUGCAGAGGCCCCUUUUUGCCCCUGAAAAAAAUCAAAUUUCAAACACAACUUGACUGCUCAUUUCUCCAAAAGACAACCAUGAAGCUCCAUCCAAACCUGAAGCAGGCAGUUGGUGCAUGUGUACAGUCACCUGAGGAAAGUGAGGUGACUACUUCUGAGGAGAACAUGAGCAGUGAAGAUUCACCUUGGAGCUAGAACAGGGAUGUGCACAUGAUUAUACAGGGGCAGGGGCUCAAGUUUUUUCCAGUCAUUUAUACAAUAUUGAAAUUAAUGUGAAAUUAAAAAACAAGUAUUAAUAGAAAGGUUAUGACUGUCCUGUGUAGAUGACAGUGAUAUCCAAUAGGCUAGGCACUCACGAGGCUGGCUGUGGCAAGUGUAAGUGAAAGCAACACGCACUGGCAGGAAGAACAGCAAACGCCGAUGAAGGAAAGGGUCUUUGCAGUGAUGGGCGUUACCAGAGAGGGCGAUGGCCAGAGGACGCGAAUGGGACGGGGAGGCAGCGCGUUGGGGGGGGCAGCGCGACACGGCUCGGGCCCGCCAGUGCCCCAACGGGGCCCUAGUUUGUUAUUAUUUUUCCUCCGCUUUAAACUGGAAAAUGGCCCACUUCCCACUGGCGAAAACUCAGGAAAUUUGGCAGGACGACCGGGCCUGGUUAAAAAUUCGAUAUUCUGAAGUCGCCCAAACAAUAAAAUGCAAAAUGGCUCCAUAGCGCCCCCUAAGGUGAAAAUUCACAUGACGGCUAUACGCUUUGUCAAAAUGACACAAAAAUUGACACACACAUGUAUCUCAAUAAGAUCUACAAAAAAGUCAGUGCGGGCGUAUCUGUCAAAUGUAUGGUUAAAGGGUUAUUCCGCAUUUUUUGCCGAUCGACACACAUUGGAAUUUCGCUAACUCCUCCGAAGGCUUUCGUUCCACCGGCACCACAUUUGCUCAGGCCAAUCUACACCCCAUGGCCAUUAAAAGUUAUUCAAAUCAUGACGCUGCACCCCACGGUUAAGGUUCUAGGGGGCGCCAAAGAUAACCCAAAAAUCCAUAUUCUUAAAAGUCUUAUAACUUUUUAUUUUUGUCCUCACUGGCCUCCAAGUUUUCUAGGAUGAUGCAAUGUCCAGCCAUCAACACAUUUGUGAAGGAAUUUUUACUCCCCAAAAGAGCGCCCCCCAUGGCAGGAGAAAAAAGUCCAUUUUUUCUUGUCCCCUAAGGUGAAAAUACACAUUGUUGAGUGUCACGCCUGUACGCUUUGUCAAAAUGACACAAAAUUUGACACACAGGUGUAUCUCAAUAAGAUCUACGAAAAAGUCAGUGCGGGCGUAUCUGUCAAAUGUACGGUUAAAGGGCUAUUUCGCAUUUUUCGGCGAUCCGUACACAUUGGAAUUUCGCUAACUCCUCCGAAGGCUUUCGUUCCACCGGCACCAUUUUUGCUCAGGCCAAUCUACACCCCAUGGCCAUUAAAAGUUAUUCAAAUCAUGACGCUGCACUCCACGGUUUAGGUUCUAGGGGGCGCCAAAAAUAACCCAAAAAUCCACAUUCUUAAAAGUCAUAACUUUUUAUUUUGUCCUCACUGGCCUCCAAGUUUUCAAAGAUGAUGCAAUGUCCAGCCAUCAACACAUUUGUGAAGGAAUUUUUACUCCCCAAAAGAGCGCCCCCCCAUGGCAGGAGAAAAAAGUCCAUUUUUUCUUGUCCCCUAAGGUGAAAAUACACAUUGUUGAGUGUCACACCUAUACGCUUUGUCAUAUUGACACAAAAUUUGACAAUCAAGUGUAUCUCAAUAAGAUCUAGGAAAAAGUCAAUGCGCACAUAUCUGUAAAAUGUACGGUUAAAGGGCUAUUUUGCAUUUUUUGCCGAUUCGCACACAUUGGAAUGUAGCUAACUCCUCCUAAGGCUUUCGUCCCACUGACACCAAAUUUGCUCAGGCCAAUCUACACCCCAUGGCCAUUCAAAGUUGUACAAAUCAUGACGCUGCACCCCACGGACAACCAUGAAGCUCCAUCCAAACCUGAAGCAGGCAGUUGGUGCAUGUGUACAGUACCCUGAGGGGAGUGAGGUGACUGCUUCUGAGGAGAACAUGAGCAGUCAAGAUUCACCUUGGAGCUAGAACAGAGACGUGCACAUGAUUAUACAGGGGCAGGGGCUCAAGUUUUUUCCAGUCGUUUAUACAAUAUGGAAAUUAAUGUGAAAUUAAAAAACAAAGUAUUAAUAGAAAGGUAAUGACUGUCCUGUGUAGGUGACAGUGAUAUCCAAUAGGCUAGGCACUCACGAGGCUGGCUGUGGCAAGUGUAAGUGAAAGCAACACACACUGGCAGGAAGAACAGCAAACGCAGAUGAAGGAAAAGGGUCUUUGCAGUGAUGGGCGUUACCAGAGAGGGCGAUGGCCAGAGGACGCGAAUGGGACGGGGAGGCAGCGCGUUGGGUGGGGCAGUGCGACACGGCUCGGGCCCGCCAGUGCCCCAACGGGGCCCUAGUUAUUAUUAUUAGGGCCCGAGCCAGCUGCAGAGCAGCCGGGCGUAGAGCCCUAUUAUUCCUGAUGAGUUUUUUAGGGCCCGAGCGUAGCUGCUAAGCAGCUGCGAGAGCCCUCUUGUUCCUGUAGUUUCCUUCUUUUGUUAUUAUUAUUUUUCCUCCCCUUUGAACUGGAAAAUGGCCCACUUCCCACUGGCGAAAACUCAUGAAAUUUGGCAGGACGACCGGGCCUGGUGAAAAAUUUGAUAUUCCGAAGUCGCCCAAACAAGAAAAUGCAAAAUGGCUCCAUAGCGCCCCCUAAGGUGAAAAUUCACACUAUUGACUGUCACGCCUGUACGCUUUGUCAAAAUGACACAAAAAUUGACACACACAUGUAUCUCAAUAAGAUCUACAAAAAAGUCAGUGCGGGCGUAUCUGUCAAAUGUACGGUUAAAGGGUUAUUUCGCAUUUUUUGCCGAUCCGCACACAUUGGAAUUUCGCUAACUCCUCCGAAGGCUUUCGUUCCACCGGCACCACAUUUGCUCAGGCCAAUCUACACCCCAUGGCCAUUAAAAGUUAUUCAAAUCAUGACGCUGCACCCCACGGUUUAGGUUCUAGGGGGCGCCAAAGAUAACCCUAAGAUCCACAUAUUUAAAAGUCUUAUAACUUUUUAUUUUUGCCCUCACUGGCCUCCAAGUUUUCUAGGAUGAUGCAAUGUCCAGCCAUCAACACAUUUGUGAAGGAAUUUUUACUCCCAAAAAGAGCGCCCCCCCAUGGCAGGAGAAAAAAGUCCAUUUUUUCUUGUCCCCUAAGGUGAAAAUACACAUUGUUGAGUGUAACACCUGUACGCUUUGGCAAAAUGACACAAAAAUUGACACACACAUGUAUCUCAAUAAGAUCUACGAAAAAGUCAAUGCGCGCG
RNAcentral lists this long non-coding RNA (6313 nucleotides) under Xyrichtys novacula (pearly razorfish). The record is from RNAcentral. Lineage: Eukaryota; Metazoa; Chordata; Actinopteri; Labriformes; Labridae.